GUUAGGAAUCUUCCACAAUGGGGGCAACCCUGAUGGAGCAACACCGCGUGCUGGAUGAAGGCCUUCGGGUCGUAAACAGCUUUUGUAUACGAAGAAUAUGACGGUAAUAUACGAAUAAGGGUCGGCUAACUACGUGCCAGCAGCCGCGGUCAUACGUAGGACCCAAGCGUUAUCCGGAGUGACUGGGCGUAAAGAGUUGUGUAGGCGGCUUAUUAAGCGAGUAGUGAAAUCUGGUGGCUCAACCAUCAACACAUUGCUCGAACUGAUAGGCUUGAGAAUGGUAGAGGUAGUUGGAAUUUCUUGUGUAGGAGUGAAAUCCGUAGAUAUAAGAAGGAACACCAAUGGCGUAGGCAGACUACUGGACCAUUUCUGACGCUGAGGCACGAAAGCGUGGGGAGCGAACCGGAUUAGAUACCCCAGUAGUCC
RNAcentral lists this ribosomal RNA (426 nucleotides) under uncultured bacterium. RNAcentral describes it as "partial 16S ribosomal RNA". It matches the Rfam family "Bacterial small subunit ribosomal RNA", at positions 354 to 796 of the family's 1533-position model. The record is from RNAcentral.